CUGUUAGGGAUAGGAGGAGAACCUCGCCCUAACAUGAGCAAAGUCGAAGGCCCGAUUACCCUUAGACCGGAUGGGAGGAGAGGCCCUGCAAUGCCCAUAUGUGCCCCCACAGCCCUGUUAGGGAUAAGAGGAGAACCUCGCCCUAACAUGAGCAAAGUCGAAGGCCUGAUUACCCUUAGAUCGGAUGGGGGGAGAGGCCCUGCAAUGCCCAUAUGUGCCCCCACAGUCCUGUUAGGAACAGAAGGAGAACCUCGUCCUAACCUGAGCUGAAAUCGACUACAUCAGAAAUAAGAGAAGAACCUUAUCCUAACACCAACUAAGGUCCGGCCAUUCGAGAUCUGAUAAGAAAAAAGAGAACCUUCUCGACGGCCCUUCUACGCUCCCGCAAUCCUAUAAAAAGCUAGGGAGAACCUUUGCUUAAAAAGAGGAGGGAGA
This 435-nucleotide long non-coding RNA is filed under the name Elaeis guineensis (African oil palm). RNAcentral describes it as "long non-coding RNA (EGUI_LNC041617)". Lineage: Eukaryota; Viridiplantae; Streptophyta; Magnoliopsida; Arecales; Arecaceae. The record is from RNAcentral.